AUUGAACGCUGGCGGCAGGCCUAACACAUGCAAGUCGAACGGUAACAGGAAGCAGCUUGCUGCUUCGCUGACGAGUGGCGGACGGGUGAGUAAUGUCUGGGAAACUGCCUGAUGGAGGGGGAUAACUACUGGAAACGGUAGCUAAUACCGCAUAACGUCGCAAGACCAAAGAGGGGGACCUUAGGGCCUCUUGCCAUCGGAUGUGCCCAGAUGGGAUUAGCUAGUAGGUGGGGUAACGGCUCACCUAGGCGACGAUCCCUAGCUGGUCUGAGAGGAUGACCAGCCACACUGGAACUGAGACACGGUCCAGACUCCUACGGGAGGCAGCAGUGGGGAAUAUUGCACAAUGGGCGCAAGCCUGAUGCAGCCAUGCCGCGUGUAUGAAGAAGGCCUUCGGAUUGUAAAGUACUUUCAGCGGGGAGGAAGGGAGUAAAGUUAAUACCUUUGCUCAUUGACGUUACCCGCAGAAGAAGCACCGGCUAACUCCGUG
Molecule: ribosomal RNA, 490 nt
Filed under: uncultured bacterium
Lineage: Bacteria
Description: partial 16S ribosomal RNA
Rfam family: Bacterial small subunit ribosomal RNA
Source: RNAcentral